CGGCCGUAACUAUAACGGUCCUAAGGUAGCGAAAUUCCUUGUCGGGUAAGUUCCGACCUGCACGAAUGGUGUAACGAUCUGGGCGCUGUCUCAGCCAUGAGCUCGGUGAAAUUGUAGAAGCGGUGAAGAUGCCGCUUACCCGCAAUGGGACGAAAAGACCCCGUGAACCUUCACUACAGCUUAGCAUUGGCGUUGGUCAUGUGAUGUGUAGGAUAGGUGGGAGGCUUAGAUCCGGCGACGCUAGUUGUCGGGGAGCCGCCGUUGAAAUACCACCCUUCGCAUGUCCGGCGCCUAAUCCGCGGGAUGCGGAGACAAUGCUUGGUGGGUAGUUUGACUGGGGUGGUCGCCUCCAAAAGAGUAACGGAGGCUCCCAAAGGUGCCCUCAGCACGGUUGGCAACCGUGCGGUGAGUGCAUUGGCACAAGGGCGCUUGACUGCGAGACAGACAAGUCGAGCAGGUGCGAAAGCAGGGCAAAGUGAUCCGGCGGUACCGUAUGGAAGGGCCGUCGCUCAAAGGAUAAAAGGUACUCCGGGGAUAACAGGCUGAUCACUCCCAAGAGCUCAUAUCGACGGAGUGGUUUGGCACCUCGAUGUCGGCCCGUCACAUCCUGGGGCUGGAGAAGGUCCCAAGGGUUCGGCUGUUCGCCGAUUAAAGUGGCACGCGAGCUGGGUUCAGAACGUCGCGAGACAGUUCGGUCUCUAUCUAUUGUGGGCGUUUGAGACUUGAGAGGGGCUGUCCUUAGUACGAGAGGACCGGGACGGACGAACCUCCUGUGCACCGGUUGUGGCGCCAGCCGCACCGCCGGGUAGCAGCGUUCGGACGGGAUAAGCGCUGAAAGCAUCUAAGCGCGAAGCCCACCUCAAGAUGAGGUCUCAUUUCAGGGUCGUGCUAGACGAGCACGUUGAUAGGGCGCAGGUGCAAGCGUGGCGACACGUUCAGCCGAGCGCUACUAAUAGCCCGAACACUUCACGUG
RNAcentral lists this ribosomal RNA (973 nucleotides) under Bacteroidales bacterium Bact_22. RNAcentral describes it as "bacterial LSU rRNA". It matches the Rfam family "Bacterial large subunit ribosomal RNA", at positions 1931 to 2925 of the family's 2925-position model. The record is from RNAcentral. Lineage: Bacteria; Pseudomonadati; Bacteroidota; Bacteroidia; Bacteroidales.